CCUACGGGGGGCAGCAGUGGGGAAUUUUGGACAAUGGGGGAAACCCUGAUCCAGCCAUGCCGCGUGCGGGAAGAAGGCCUUCGGGUUGUAAACCGCUUUCGGACAGAAAGAAAUCGCAUGGAUUAAUACUCUGUGUGGAUGACGGUACUGUAAGAAGAAGCACCGGCUAACUACGUGCCAGCAGCCGCGGUAAUACGUAGGGUGCGAGGGUUAAUCGGAAUUAGUGGGCGUAAAGCGUGCGCAGGCGUAAAAUCCCCGGGCUUAACCUGGGAAUGGCGUUUGAAACUGGAUGUCUAGAGUGUGGCAGAGGGGGGUGGAAUUCCACGUGUAGCAGUGAAAUGCGUAGAGAUGUGGAGGAACACCGAUGGCGAAGGCAGCCCCCUGGGCUAACACUGACGCUCAUGCACGAAAGCGUGGGGAGCAAACAGGAUUAGAUACCCCAGUAGUC
RNAcentral lists this ribosomal RNA (448 nucleotides) under uncultured bacterium. Its description in RNAcentral is "partial 16S ribosomal RNA". It matches the Rfam family "Bacterial small subunit ribosomal RNA", at positions 338 to 795 of the family's 1533-position model. The record is from RNAcentral.